RNAcentral lists this transfer RNA (63 nucleotides) under Danionella translucida. It matches the Rfam family "tRNA". Rfam says of the family: Transfer RNA (tRNA) molecules are approximately 80 nucleotides in length. Their secondary structure includes four short double-helical elements and three loops (D, anti-codon, and T loops). Further hydrogen bonds mediate the characteristic L-shaped molecular structure. tRNAs have two regions of fundamental functional importance: the anti-codon, which is responsible for specific mRNA codon recognition, and the 3' end, to which the tRNAs corresponding amino acid is attached (by aminoacyl-tRNA synthetases). tRNAs cope with the degeneracy of the genetic code in two manners: having more than one tRNA (with a specific anti-codon) for a particular amino acid; and 'wobble' base-pairing, i.e. permitting non-standard base-pairing at the 3rd anti-codon position. Lineage: Eukaryota; Metazoa; Chordata; Actinopteri; Cypriniformes; Danionidae. The record is from Rfam by way of RNAcentral. RNAcentral also lists the same sequence under 1 other name.
UUUCCUGUGGCUCAGUUGGUAGAGCAUUGUGCUAACAACGCAAAGGUUCAAAUCCCAGGGAAA